Long non-coding RNA from Taeniopygia guttata (zebra finch), 3562 nucleotides. Lineage: Eukaryota; Metazoa; Chordata; Aves; Passeriformes; Estrildidae. The record is from Ensembl.
UGCUCCCUUCAUCCCGAUGGAGGCAGGAGCUCCUGGACACCUGGGGGAACACAGCUCUGCCAGAGCAGCAGCCUGGAGGGAGAAGUGGAGAAAGCUCUGAGGAGCCAGCUGCAGGAAGGGAGAUGAGGGUCACAGCUGCAGGUGGGACGGAGUGAGUGCUGUUCAUGGAAUUCCUGACAUCCCAAUGAGGUGCUAGGAGACAGGAACAUGGGAUACAGCCAAGGCACCAGGCUUCUGGCCGGACACGCUUUUCCCAGCCUGAAUCACUGACAGCACCCAGGCAAGUGUCACCAAUCCCUGGGGACACACAUUGUUCCAGCCAGCCACCCCUCAGAGACAAGGCCCGAGGGAAGAAACCUGAAGGAUGGCUUUGUCCUUGUGUGAGCAAAUUGCCUCCUGGUUGAUGCAGGGCAGGCAGGUGCUGGUACAGAGCUGAGCAUGGGAAAUCCUGAGCUGGAAGGGACCCCAAGGAUCACCCAGACCAGCCCUGUCCCUGCCCAGACCCCCCAAAAUCCCACCCUGGGCAUCCCUGGCAGCGCUGGCCAAAGGCUCCUGGAGCUCUGGCAGCCUCGGGGCCGUGCCCAUUCCCUGGGGAGCCUGGGCAGUGCCAGCACCUCUGGGGGAAGAACCUUUCCUGCUCUCCAGCCUGAGCUGCCCUGGCCCAGCUCCAGCCGUUCCCUCACGGUGCCCUGUCACUUGUCAGUGUCACAGAUCCGUGUCUGCCCUCCUGGGGAAGUCACAGGUCCACAGACAGCGAUAGGAAGGUGACAUCAGCUCUGGCUGUGCUGAGCUCUGCUGGGAACAGGAACCGAGCAGCACAGGGCAGGGCUGGCUGUCCCACACAGCAGCUGAGGACGUUGCAGAAGCCACAGGAUGACCCGAGGUGGCUCCUGAGUCUGUGUUGUGCUGCGAGGGGAGGAGGGAACAGGGCCCGGUUUGGGGUUUAGAAACCAGCAAGUCCCAAGUGCCUUUGAGGAACUGUUUCUGAAUGGCCCUGAGCCAGGACCUGGCUCUUCCUUUGGAGCACCCUGUGAACUUCCCACCUCCCCCGUGCUGCCUCCCACUCUCCAGGGAUGUGUCUGUACGUCUGAGGGAUGCCAGAGGGCUGCACUCAAACACAAAACCUGGCAGAGCCACGUCAAAACAGACCUUUCAGAGCCCUCGUGCUCUUGUCACAUGCAGGAGAAGUUGCUCCCAUGGAAAUGUCGCAUUCCAGCAUGGUUUGACAUCCACAGCUUCUUCCACAGCCACUGCCAUGCUGACAGGGACAUCUCUGAGCGCUGCAAAACAGAACCCUGUCCCUGCACAGCACUACUCCAGCCCACUGGGAACACAAACCUCUCCACCUCCUGCCAGGUGAGGGAUAGGUUCAGCAAAGAGGAGAAGUUUUAGGUCUCCCUUUUCCACCUGCUCCAGGUCAGUCUUGAUCUGCCCAGGGCCAGCUGAGGGGGUGGCUCAGGCAAUCAGCGAUGGUCCUGGCUGCAUUCCUGGAGGUUCCCUGCUGAGCCAUUCCCAGGGCCAUGGAAAUAUCUAACAGGAGCAAAAGGAAUCAGCUGGGCAGUUUCUAACACAGCAGAACCUGUUGCUGUUAAUAACUGCAGGCUAAAUCUUACCUGGCUUGGAGCAAGCACCUGCCUUCCUUCUGCUUUAAAAAAAAAAGGUGGAACCACCAAAAUGCUGGCUUUGGAGCUCAGAGCUUCAGCCAAGAGGUUUAAUGGUUAUUCUGGUGCCACAGCCAAGCUCAGAAAGCAGAGCAGCACUAGAAACCUGAGCUUACCCCGGUGUCUGGUUUGGGUGUGGACCUGCUGCUGUAAAUUUAGAUCGAACAGGAGGAAUGUGCCUGAACAGGACUGGGUUAUCAGUCUCUAAUGAGCAUUUCAGUGAGAGUUCAUUGCUCUGCACUGUGUGACAGCAGGGUGAGAGCUGAGGCAAUGAGGUGACAGGCGAAUUCCUUCCACUAAACAGGAACAAGGUUUCGUGGGCUGUGUUGUCACACACUGGAAGGAGAUAAGGCUCAGCUCCCACUGCAGAGAUUUCAUGGGAGUUGAUAAUUUAAAACCCUUCCAGUGUCUAGCAACAGUAAUUAUAUUUCAUACCUCAGAUGACUAAAAAAGAUUCUUCAGUAUCUUGUGGUAUCUGUGACAGGGAGAACGUGGAGCUGAGCAUCGCCUUGGGACAGGAUGUGCAGAUCACUGGCAAAGAAAAGAGUGGAUAAGGUUAGAUUGAUGUGCAGGUCCUGAAGUUUUUCCAACCUUUUCUCAUGUUUUUAAACAGUUCUGAGCUGGGGAGGAAAAAAAAAAAAAUUAAGCUCAAGGACACUUCAUUUAUGCAUCCAAAACAACAGAGUUGGGACCUUGAGUUUCUGACCCUGAUUCCACUUAUUCAGUUACCGCAAAUUACUUCAGCAGCCACCUCUUAAAUCAUCUCAGAAAAUGCAUGGAAAUAUUUAGCAACAACAACAAAAAAAUCCACCCCAUCUUUCCAUUCAGUUAGAUACACAUUUAGAAACACCUUUUGGGCUGAAACAAAAGCAAGCAACGAUGGCUUAAAGAGUCAUCCUCUGCUCUGCGGCCCCUGGAAAAGUCCCGCGGCUCCUGCCGGCCUCUCUCGGUUAAAGUUCACAGAGAACAGGUACAGGGGACAAAGCUCGAUCAGGAAACAAAAUCUUGGGUGGAAGGGAAAUUCAUCAAACGAGGCCUGAUGGUUGGGCUGAGGUCGGGAGCACUCCCAGCACCGGUGCGAUCUUCACGCCAACCACAUGAGAAAGGGCUGUGCACACCCCACAGCCUGUCCCAGCACUGACUGCUGACUCGGGCACCAUUACUGUCCCUCCUGCUGCUUUCUCUGCUCUCCUCCUCCCUGCCAGGCCCUGCCAGGUCCUGCCAGGCACCUCUGGGUCUGUGCCUUCAUCACCAGCUGCUCCGAGCCCAAACUCCCAAAACAAAUAUCCCAUCACAUCCCACCAGCCUGCACCAAACCAAUCGAGCCUGCCUUGAAUCCUGACUUCCUCCAAGCAUCUCUCAUUUGCAGGAUAAUCUGUGUUGGGGGAUUUUUGUAAAGAUGUUUUUUUUCCCUGACUGUCCUUAACAACUCUGAGCAUUUAUCCUUUGCCAAAACACCACCUGGUCAGAGAGGUACCCAUGGGCCCUGCAAUAACUGCCAAUAAAUUUGUCUUUUCUGCACCCCUGUGACAUGUGAGUCCCUCUGGCAGGGAGAAGGAAGGCCAGGGCUUGGGGGAUGGGGAAUGGGGUGGAAGAGCAGAAAUGAGCCUUUCAUCAGACAUCCCAACCCAUCCUUGGCACUGACUCCAAACCACUUCAUGGACCUUGCCCAGGACUCACCAGGACACCGUGGGGAAUUCCCCUGCCACCUGGGAAUUCCCCAGCAGGAGUGAGCUGCCAGCUGUUGAGCUCAUCUGGGGUUUUGAUGGAUGUUCCUCUCACCCCACUGUGAGCCCCAGAGCUUCUCCUGCUUGACAAAGGAGCCUCCUGUCACUGAGGUCCCUCUCCUUGGGAGCCCCAGUGCUGUCCUUGCUCUGGGAUACUCAGUGCUCUGCUGGCCC